AUUGAACGCUGGCGGCAUGCCUUACACAUGCAAGUCGAACGGUAACAGGUCUUCGGGUGCUGACGAGUGGCGAACGGGUGAGUAAUACAUCGGAACGUGCCUAGUAGUGGGGGAUAACUACUCGAAAGAGUGGCUAAUACCGCAUGAGAUCUACGGAUGAAAGCAGGGGAUCGCAAGACCUUGUGCUACUAGAGCGGCCGAUGGCAGAUUAGGUAGUUGGUGGGAUAAAAGCUUACCAAGCCGACGAUCUGUAGCUGGUCUGAGAGGACGAUCAGGCACGCUGGGAGUGAGACACGGCCCAGACUCCUACGGGAGGCAGCAGUGGGGAAGUUUGGACAAUGGGCGAAAGCCUGAUCCAGCAAUGCCGCGUGCAGGAUGAAGGACUUCGGGUUGUAAACUGCUUUUGUACGGAACGAAAAGCCCCGGGUUAAUACCCUGGGGUCAUGACGGUACCGUAAGAAUAAGCACCGGCUAACUACGUGCCAGCCGCCGCCGUAA
RNAcentral lists this ribosomal RNA (498 nucleotides) under uncultured bacterium. RNAcentral's name for it is "partial 16S ribosomal RNA". It matches the Rfam family "Bacterial small subunit ribosomal RNA", at positions 30 to 523 of the family's 1533-position model. The record is from RNAcentral.